RNAcentral lists this ribosomal RNA (51 nucleotides) under Perezia virens. RNAcentral's name for it is "25S ribosomal RNA". Lineage: Eukaryota; Viridiplantae; Streptophyta; Magnoliopsida; Asterales; Asteraceae. RNAcentral also lists the same sequence under 2 other names. The record is from RNAcentral.
GUGACCCCAGGUCAGGCGGGACCACCCGCUGAGUUUAAGCAUAUCAAUAAG